UACAGAGGUCCCAAGCGUUGUUCGGAUUCAUUGGGCGUAAAGGGUGCGUAGGUGGCGCCGUAAGUCGGGUGUGAAAUUUCGGAGCUUAACUCCGAAACUGCAUUCGAUACUGCGGUGCUUGAGGACUGGAGAGGAGACUGGAAUUCAUGGUGUAGCAGUGAAAUGCGUAGAUAUCGGGAGGAACAUCAGUGGCGAAGGCGGCCCUCUGGUCCAGUACUGACACUCAAGUGCGAAAGCGUGGGGAGCAAACAGG
This 253-nucleotide ribosomal RNA is filed under the name uncultured bacterium. RNAcentral describes it as "partial 16S ribosomal RNA". It matches the Rfam family "Bacterial small subunit ribosomal RNA", at positions 524 to 776 of the family's 1533-position model. The record is from RNAcentral.